AUGCUUCCAAAGGACAAUGAAUUGCCCGAGAGUACGUACGAAGCAAAGAAGGCUGUCUGCCCUCUAGGGUUAGAGAUGCAGAAGAUACAUGCAUGCCCUAAUGAUUGCAUCCUCUACCACGGUGAGUACGAGGAUUUGAACGCUUGCCCAGUAUGUGGUGCAUUGCGCUAUAAGAUCAGCCGCGAUGAGCAUGGUGAUGUCGAGGGCGAGCGCCCCAGGAAGAAGAUUCCUGCCAAGGUGAUGUGGUAUUCUCCUAUAAUACCACGGUUGAAACGUUUGUUUCAAAACAAAGAGCAUGCCAAGGCGAUGCGAUGGCACAGAGAAGACUGUAAGAAAGACGGAAAGUUGAGAGUACCCGCUGACGGGUCG
This 369-nucleotide ribosomal RNA is filed under the name Triticum aestivum (bread wheat). RNAcentral describes it as "partial small subunit ribosomal RNA". The record is from RNAcentral. Lineage: Eukaryota; Viridiplantae; Streptophyta; Magnoliopsida; Poales; Poaceae.